RNAcentral lists this ribosomal RNA (257 nucleotides) under uncultured bacterium. Its description in RNAcentral is "partial 16S ribosomal RNA". It matches the Rfam family "Bacterial small subunit ribosomal RNA", at positions 29 to 289 of the family's 1533-position model. The record is from RNAcentral.
ACGAACGCUGGCGGCAUGCCUAAGACAUGCAAGUCGAACGGUAAGGCCCUUUCGGGGGUACACGAGUGGCGAACGGGUGAGUAACACGUGGGUAAUCUGCCCUGCACUUCGGGAUAAGCCUGGGAAACCGGGUCUAAUACCGGAUAUGAGCUCCUGCCGCAUGGUGGGGGUUGGAAAGUUUUUCGGUGCAGGAUGAGUCCGCGGCCUAUCAGCUUGUUGGUGGGGUAAUGGCCUACCAAGGCGACGACGGGUAGCCG